GUGUGUAAUGAUUGACAAAGAAAUCUUAAUUUACCAAAAGAAGAAAACAGAUCGUAAAUUAGUACAUUUAUUGCUUAUUACAUAAUUAAGAUUUCAUGUCACCAUAUCUAAUUCUAUGUCACCAUAGUGUAGUUACAAAUGAUUCACCAACCACUAUAAGUAUCUGAAAUAGAAUUUAUGACUUUGUGAAAGGAGCAUGUCCUAUUUCAUUUUCUUUUUGGGUGAAAGAGAUCUAGAGGAGUUCAGCUAAUUAAUCAAGUGUCAAUCAAAACCACACAAAACUGGAAACCCUAAUAGUAAUAUGGCAAAGAAAUUUGAAAAAAAUAUGGAAUAGAGGCACCACAUAUAUGGAUCUAUAAUAAGUAGUAGAACUGAGAGCAAUGCGCCAACAAACCAACUACCCUAUUUAAUUUUCUUCUUAAGCAUAUACCUAAAAAAACAAAAGACCAAUACCUUUUGUCAAACUUUGUUGACUAUGAAGACAUGCAUUAUUAUGUUGAAUCACCAACCAUUAUUAGCUCAUAAGUUUACUCAAUUAAAGUCAGAUCACCGAAUAGCUACUGCAACUUACUAUCAUGAUUUCAUAAUUUUCAAUUUUAUUUGUCGUUUAUUUUUUUUAGAUUCAAUCUCCGACCAUUGUUGCAUUAAAUCUGUACACACCUCUUUAUGAUUUCAUAAUUUUCAAUUUUAUUUGUCGUUUCUUAUUUUUAGAUUCAAUCUCCGACCAUUGUUGCAUUAAUUCUGUACACACCUCUUUAUGAUAUUUACUAUUGAACCUUUUCCUUUCCUUAUAUUUCCCUAAUUCACACUUUCAUUCAAAGUGAAUGUAGACCUCUAGGGAUUGCAGGCAUUUUCAAUUAGUAUGUUUUUUUUUUUCCAAUUUUAAUAUAUAUCUAACAAACACUAUUUCUCCCACAGAUGUAUGCAUGAAACAUGCCGACUCAAACAUGGAGCAACCCCCAGAUUUUCAGUUCCCAAAUAUGCCAAAUGAUAAGAAAGUCAUGAAGGCAACCUCAUCUAAUUUGAAUAUUUCAAGAACAUAACCAAAUUAUCAUAUGUUUGGGUUUAUUAUUUUUAACUUAGAUUCUUGUAAAUAGAUUUUUCUUUUAUUUUUUAAUUUCAUAUGACUUUUGCUUUAUUUUGAAAAAAAAAUAUUAUUCUAAAUCUUAAUUUAAAACUAAUUUAAGUUGGAAUAAAGUCAAACAAAAGAAAAUUACAAACCUUUUGAUCCAGCUGCCACUAAAAGAACAACUAUAUUUUACAUAUAUACUUUCGUAAAAGGCUAUACUAUUAUUUCCUCUUACAGUUAUACAUGUCAUAAGUGGUGCUUUAUGUCCUUCACAUACAAAUUCCUUUAUAAAUGCUAAUUAGCUAUGGACAGAACACAUUUAUACAUUCCAAGAAAUAAAAAAGAUUUUUAUGCACUAAUUCAUUCUAAUUAGAGAUGUACCUUGAAAGUGAAUGAGUUUAGCAUGGUAUCAUCAACAACACAAUUAAUGUUGACAUAGGGAUUUCAAGCAUGAGAUCUUCAAGUGCUGUGACUAUCCCCAAAACCUUCCCAGAAUUGGUUCAGACACCGAAGAGCGUGGGGGCCUGAAACAAUACUCUUUCAGAGACAGUCAUGGUGGAUUUGGCAGAUAUGGAGUUGGAAGCUUUCUAGAACAGGUUGCAUAAUAAAAAACAAAUCAUUUAGCUGUUAAUAUAACAAACUAGCAUCAAAGAUACAAUGGUGAAAAGUCAACAACACAGGAGGAAACAUUUGGAAAACCUUGAAUUUCCAUUUGACUUUAUUGAAUAGAUAUGCCACACAUAAUGAAAUUCAAGCAAUCACCACAUUUUCCUAAUAAUAGAUUUAUUGAGGUAAGAAUGAUUCCUAACAUAAUCACCUGAUUGUAACAAUAAUUUCACCGGGAAGCACAACACAACCAAUUCAUAUAAUAAAUUCCAAAUCACAUAAAACUAAGUAUUUAAAAAGUAUAAGUUUUUUGUGCUAUUAGCAAUUUAGGCCACAUGGAGAAUAUACAUUUCUCAUCCAUGAUUUUCAGCUUAUAGAUUGACUGAGAGACCAAGAUCAAUGUUUAUAGUAGAUUCAGCAAGUGAUAUGCAACUAGACUGCUAAACAAUCCUCAAAAUCAUUAGUUGGUCUGGAGAAGAAACAAAGACGAUAAUUCAAAUGAAGUUAGACAGUAUAAUCUAAAAUAAAAUAUAUUACGCAUUUCUAGUUAAGGAAUUGAGAAAUAUAUUGCAAUCUAAAAAUCAACAAUUGUAGAAGAGUUUAUCCUAUUUUAUUAAGGCCCUCAUGUACUGGAUUUACAUGUCUAUUGUGAUUAUGAUUGCACUCAAGAGCCUAUCAUAAAUUGCAAUCUUUUAUGACCACGAUAGGUCUCUAUCACUUUUAAAUUGACAUGUAUGCAUCUUUCUUCAUCACUCGGGCAAAGUUCAAGAAACAGUAAAAACAUGCCCCAAAUCAUGAAAAGGAUCGCAAUAAUUUGCACUACAAAAGAUGAAAUCUGAGAGACACCUACAAACAACGGUCGAGAGAGAAGGCAGGCAAGGACACAAACUUAUCAUGAGAAUGGACUCAAAAGGCAGAAAAGGCACAUGGUCAAUUGCAGACAGAGAGUGAAUAAAAGUUCAAGAGUGACAUAGGCUUGUGGAAGGUACUUCCACACUAACAAAAAAGAUUCUUGAGUAUUUUUGGAGAAAUUGAAAACGAAGAGAAAAAUUAGGGUGAAAAUGGAAACGCUAAUCGGAAAAGGGAAAGAAGUGUCACCUGUGUAGAGCACAGCGAAGCCGUGACCGGCGAACGGUGACGCGGAGGCUUUCAAAAUGGUGAUAUAUAGGCCUUCGACGGCGACGCGAUGGCCUGCGGUGGCCUGAGAGCAAGCACACGGUGGCUUGUGCCUUGCAAGCACGGAGAACGUGCAAGCUCUGUUGAGAAAGCUUCGUACAAAAAUGAUUGUGAUAGAUUAGGAUGUAUCUUUGUUAAAAUAGGAAAAAACCAAAAUAUUUGGGGUACAAAAAAAAUAAUUAUAACAUAAUUUAAGAAAUAGUUAAAUAUUAGCAACAAUUUUUCUAUAGUUUUAAUUAAAAAUAAUAAUAAUC
This 3105-nucleotide long non-coding RNA is filed under the name Phaseolus vulgaris (common bean). Its description in RNAcentral is "long non-coding RNA (PVUL_LNC001425)". The record is from RNAcentral. Lineage: Eukaryota; Viridiplantae; Streptophyta; Magnoliopsida; Fabales; Fabaceae.